GACGAACGCUGGCGGCGUGCUUAACACAUGCAAGUCGAACGGAAAGGCCCUGCUUUUGUGGGGUGCUCGAGUGGCGAACGGGUGAGUAACACGUGAGUAACCUGCCCUUGACUUUGGGAUAACUUCAGGAAACUGGGGCUAAUACCGGAUAGGAGCUCCUGCUGCAUGGUGGUGGUUGGAAAGUUUCGGCGGUUGGGGAUGGACUCGCGGCUUAUCAGCUUGUUGGUGGGGUAGUGGCUUACCAAGGCUUUGACGGGUAGCCGGCCUGAGAGGGUGAACGGCGACAUUGGGACUGAGAUACGGACCAGUAUCCUACGGGAGGCAGCAGUGGGGAAUAUUGCACAAUGGGCGGAAGCCUGAUGCAGCAACGCCGCGUGCGGGAUGACGGCCUUCGGGGUGUAAACCGCUUUCGACUGUGACGAAGCGUGAGUGACGGUAAUUGGUAAAGAAGCACCGGCUAACUACGUG
This 468-nucleotide ribosomal RNA is filed under the name uncultured bacterium. RNAcentral's name for it is "partial 16S ribosomal RNA". It matches the Rfam family "Bacterial small subunit ribosomal RNA", at positions 28 to 507 of the family's 1533-position model. The record is from RNAcentral.